Long non-coding RNA from Nicotiana attenuata, 439 nucleotides. RefSeq lists it as uncharacterized. NCBI's taxonomy places the organism in Eukaryota, Viridiplantae, Streptophyta, Magnoliopsida, Solanales, Solanaceae. The transcript has 2 exons. The record is from RefSeq and is a predicted model, not a curated record.
UAGAUGCUAUGGUAGAUCGGUGACGACAAGCUCUCUGAAAAAAGAUGAAGAAAUCACCAAGCUUAAACAAAAGCAUGCCAAUGAAAUAACUUCUCUGAAGGAAGAAAUGAAGGAAACGAUGAGAGAAGAAAUGCGAUGUUUUUUUAGUCAAAUGGUGAAAAACAACCCUGGACUGGAUUUUCAUGAUAUACAAGGGUGUGUUGGAUCUAAUAUUCCUUCACCAAUUGAUGCAAGUAGUGCACGAGCUAUGAGAGGCCAAAAUCUACCACAUUCUUCUGGCUCAACUCACGCCCCAAGUCUUGAAAAGGAAAAUACGGGUGAUGCAAUUGGAUAUGGUGGUCACAAAUCAAUUUGAUUCAUUAAAGUGAAUAGUGAAGACCUUUUGAACAAUUGGGAUGUUUAUUUUUAUUGAUUCUAUAAAUAUGAAUACAUUUGGUUU